This 674-nucleotide long non-coding RNA is filed under the name Canis lupus familiaris (dog). RNAcentral describes it as "lncRNA (ENSCAFG00845008196.1)". Lineage: Eukaryota; Metazoa; Chordata; Mammalia; Carnivora; Canidae. The record is from RNAcentral.
CCCAGUUACUCUUCCAUGCCCAGAAGAGUUUUUCAGGGAAGCUAUGAAGAAGAUGUCUUGCAGUUGAGUGUAUCUAGUCUAAGGAAGUCCCUGUAUGGACAUGAGGGCUAUGGUCCCUUGGCUUUCAAUACGCUCCUGCAAUAUAGAAACUGAACAGUCCAAUUGAAAGAACAAUGUAAAUAGCUUAUGAAGUGAGUAACUAAAUAGUUACACUUGGCAUUUGUACGCACGUGUGAUUAUGAAUAUACUGCUGAUUUUUACAUACAUUUUAUACAGGUAGGCUUCACAACCCUGCUCAGUACGACUUGGCCACAUCUUUCUGGAUCCUGGAUGAAUCUUGAAAGAUACCAAGAAGGACUCAUCAAAUAUUACCUGGGAGACAUGGCCUUGAAAGCAUAACCUGUGAAUAUAAUCCAUCUGAGACAGCACUUAACUCCAGACAACUCAAUGAUCAACUCAGGAAAAGCAGCAAACAUGAAAAUUCUAUGGCUGAGGCCAUAUUGCACAUCCUUGGUGGACUGUUAAGAAGAGAAAAGAAAAUCUGUGAAUGCAGUGGAGGCUCACCUUGUUGUCUGCCUGGAGCAGGGAAUAGAUUCUCCCUCUGUGUAACUGGCCUACUUUGCUGUUCCCCACACAGUCUUCAGCAGAGGUGUUAUAUGACUUCCAGAAGUUAA